GUUAUUUAUUUGGAUAAUCUAAAGAAAUUAUUCCAUUGACCUGAGGCCCUAUUUUGAAGCAUCUCAGAAAAUAAAUGCUGCUAUAUGAUAUUAAGAUAUGAUAAUAUCAUUCAUUAUUAAGAGCAAACUGAGUUUCAGUUAUCAAGAAGCUGGAAUAGUAUUCUAUGUGGGAAGCAUCAUGACUUUCUUAGACCAAUUUCCAGGUUUCCUUUUAGGCAUUUAUUUUUACCAUUACAUUUUGCUUAUUUAUAAACAUGCUUAUACACUUGUAUUUACUUUUUAAAAGUGAAUUACUUAGUUGCAAGCAUUAUGUAAUCAUUGUUACAUAUUAUAAAAAUGAUGAAUUGAAACCACCUUUCAUAAGUUUAGAUUUUAAAAUUUAAAUGAGCCUGCAGAAUUUUACUACAAAUCUAGACUGCAUUGCACAUACAAAAAACCAGAAAGGUGUCUUCUUCAGACAGAAUCUUAUUCUAGGUGUUAUCAUUUUACUUUUUAUGUUGCAAAGCUAAAAAGUCAAUUCUAUAUUUCAUAACUUGGCAUCUUAAACAUCUUAAAGAAGAGAUGUAAGGCAAAUACCAAUGUCAU
Molecule: long non-coding RNA, 585 nt
Filed under: Marmota monax (woodchuck)
Lineage: Eukaryota; Metazoa; Chordata; Mammalia; Rodentia; Sciuridae
Source: RNAcentral